UUUUAUGGAGAGUUUGAUCCUGGCUCAGAGUGAACGCUGGCGGCGUGCCUAAUACAUGCAAGUCGAACGAUGAAGCUUCUAGCUUGCUAGAAGUGGAUUAGUGGCGCACGGGUGAGUAACGCAUAGGUCAUGUGCCUCUUAGUUUGGGAUAGCCAUUGGAAACGAUGAUUAAUACCAGAUACUCCCUACGGGGGAAAGAUUUAUCGCUAAGAGAUCAGCCUAUGUCCUAUCAGCUUGUUGGUAAGGUAAUGGCUUACCAAGGCUAUGACGGGUAUCCGGCCUGAGAGGGUGAACGGACACACUGGAACUGAGACACGGUCCAGACUCCUACGGGAGGCAGCAGUAGGGAAUAUUGCUCAAUGGGGGAAACCCUGAAGCAGCAACGCCGCGUGGAGGAUGAAGGUUUUAGGAUUGUAAACUCCUUUUGUUAGAGAAGAUAAUGACGGUAUCUAACGAAUAAGCACCGGCUAACUCCGUGCCAGCAGCCGCGGUAAUACGGAGGGUGCAAGCGUUACUCGGAAUCACUGGGCGUAAAGAGCGCGUAGGCGGGAUAGUCAGUCAGGUGUGAAAUCCUAUGGCUUAACCAUAGAACUGCAUUUGAAACUACUAUUCUAGAGUGUGGGAGAGGUAGGUGGAAUUCUUGGUGUAGGGGUAAAAUCCGUAGAGAUCAAGAGGAAUACUCAUUGCGAAGGCGACCUGCUGGAACAUUACUGACGCUGAUUGCGCGAAAGCGUGGGGAGCAAACAGGAUUAGAUACCCUGGUAGUCCACGCCCUAAACGAUGGAUGCUAGUUGUUGGAGGGCUUAGUCUCUCCAGUAAUGCAGCUAACGCAUUAAGCAUCCCGCCUGGGGAGUACGGUCGCAAGAUUAAAACUCAAAGGAAUAGACGGGGACCCGCACAAGCGGUGGAGCAUGUGGUUUAAUUCGAAGAUACACGAAGAACCUUACCUAGGCUUGACAUUGAGAGAAUCCGCUAGAAAUAGUGGAAUGUCUAGCUUGCUAGACCUUGAAAACAGGUGCUGCACGGCUGUCGUCAGCUCGUGUCGUGAGAUGUUGGGUUAAGUCCCGCAACGAGCGCAACCCCCUUUCUUAGUUGCUAACAGGUCAUGCUGAGAACUCUAAGGAUACUGCCUCCGUAAGGAGGAGGAAGGUGGGGACGACGUCAAGUCAUCAUGGCCCUUACGCCUAGGGCUACACACGUGCUACAAUGGGGUGCACAAAGAGAAGCAAUACUGCGAAGUGGAGCCAAUCUUCAAAACGCCUCUCAGUUCGGAUUGUAGGCUGCAACUCGCCUGCAUGAAGCUGGAAUCGCUAGUAAUCGCAAAUCAGCCAUGUUGCGGUGAAUACGUUCCCGGGUCUUGUACUCACCGCCCGUCACACCAUGGGAGUUGUGUUUGCCUUAAGUCAGGAUGCUAAAUUGGCUACUGCCCACGGCACACACAGCGACUGGGGUGAAGUCGUAACAAGGUAACCGUAGGUGAACCUGCGGUUGGAUCACCUCCUUUCUA
Molecule: ribosomal RNA, 1507 nt
Filed under: Helicobacter pylori
Lineage: Bacteria; Pseudomonadati; Campylobacterota; Epsilonproteobacteria; Campylobacterales; Helicobacteraceae
Description: bacterial SSU rRNA
Rfam family: Bacterial small subunit ribosomal RNA
Source: RNAcentral